This 996-nucleotide ribosomal RNA is filed under the name uncultured bacterium. RNAcentral's name for it is "bacterial SSU rRNA". It matches the Rfam family "Bacterial small subunit ribosomal RNA", at positions 342 to 1337 of the family's 1533-position model. The record is from RNAcentral.
CGGGAGGCAGCAGUGGGGAAUUUGGACAAUGGGCGAAAGCCUGAUCCAGCAAUGCCGCGUGAGUGAAGAAGGCCUUCGGGUUGUAAAGCUCUUUUGUCAGGGAAGAAACGGUGUGGGCUAAUAUCCCGCACUAAUGACGGUACCUGAAGAAUAAGCACCGGCUAACUACGUGCCAGCAGCCGCGGUAAUACGUAGGGUGCAAGCGUUAAUCGGAAUUACUGGGCGUAAAGCGUGCGCAGGCGGUUUUGUAAGUCUGUCGUGAAAGCCCCGGGCUCAACCUGGGAAUUGCGAUGGAGACUGCAAGGCUUGAAUCUGGCAGAGGGGGGUAGAAUUCCACGUGUAGCAGUGAAAUGCGUAGAGAUGUGGAGGAACACCGAUGACGAAGGCAGCCCCCUGGGUCAAGAUUGACGCUCAUGCACGAAAGCGUGGGGAGCAAACAGGAUUAGAUACCCUGGUAGUCCACGCCCUAAACGAUGUCUACUAGUUGUCGGGUUUUAAUUAACUUGGUAACGCAGCUAACGCGUGAAGUAGACCGCCUGGGGAGUACGGUCGCAAGAUUAAAACUCAAAGGAAUUGACGGGGACCCGCACAAGCGGUGGAUGAUGUGGAUUAAUUCGAUGCAACGCGAAAAACCUUACCUACCCUUGACAUGGACGGAAGCCACGAGAGAUCGAGGUGUGCUCGAAAGAGAACCGUCACACAGGUGCUGCAUGGCUGUCGUCAGCUCGUGUCGUGAGAUGUUGGGUUAAGUCCCGCAACGAGCGCAACCCUUGUCAUUAGUUGCUACGAAAGAGCACUCUAAUGAGACUGCCGGUGACAAACCGGAGGAAGGUGGGGAUGACGUCAAGUCCUCAUGGCCCUUAUGGGUAGGGCUUCACACGUCAUACAAUGGUACAUACAGAGGGCCGCCAACCCGCGAGGGGGAGCUAAUCCCAGAAAGUGUAUCGUAGUCCGGAUUGUAGUCUGCAACUCGACUACAUGAAGUUGGAAUCGCUA